This 792-nucleotide long non-coding RNA is filed under the name Selaginella moellendorffii. RNAcentral's name for it is "long non-coding RNA (SMOE_LNC000532)". The record is from RNAcentral. Lineage: Eukaryota; Viridiplantae; Streptophyta; Lycopodiopsida; Selaginellales; Selaginellaceae.
CUUUACUUGGCCUACCGAAUUCGUGAUGUCGUUGCAGAAGGCCUUGGAGCUGAAAGCUUUCUUAGAUGAUCGCGGGCUUUUCGAGUUCUCCAUGUGUGAGCAAUUGAAGUGCUUAGAGCUUGUUAGAUAUUUAAGAUCAUGCUUCCUAGUUCUGCAAAGUCGUCCUCUAGUUCAUUGCUGCUUUUAAAAACAUGCUGCGAGUAGCUUGCGCGUGAGAGCUAUGAUCAAGUCAGGCUCCAUCUCGGACUACCCCGCUUUGGCCAUUUGGUUGCUCAACUCGUGCCUUUUCUUCACCCUGUAGUGUGUUAUUUUUGGGGUUUAGAUAUUGCCUUGCACAUUCAAAUGCUCGGCUCUGCUCUUCCACGCCACGCACUAGAGAAAACUGUUGCAAUCUGAAGACUCCAGCACCGCCACAGCUCAGGGACAUCUUGGAUCCUGGCACUCGGGAUCAGACAAGAAUUUAGUGUAGAUGAAUGGUGGUAAAAGCGAAAAUCCUUUGAAACUUACACUAUCUUCGAAGUUUUUUUUCCCCGGAUGACAAAUUAGACAGCCUUUUCUCAACAACAAAAUUUUAGACACUAGCAAGGUCCAUCCCAGAUUGAAACUCUGCAAAGCCCAAAUACUUACUGCCAAGAGUUUCAACAUAAUAUCAUAUUAUCAGUAGUGUUCCUUCCACUGCAAGUGUCCAAAGAAUGGCAGCAACAGUGGGCAGUGCACUGCAGAAAAAUGUUUUGGGGUGAGAAAAGAAAACAGAAAAGAAAAAGAAAAUACGGUGUGACAAGUUUGAUGGUU